Molecule: ribosomal RNA, 447 nt
Filed under: uncultured bacterium
Lineage: Bacteria
Description: bacterial SSU rRNA
Rfam family: Bacterial small subunit ribosomal RNA
Source: RNAcentral
UCGGGAAUUUUGGGCAAUGGGCGAAAGCCUGACCCAGCAACGCCGCGUGAAGGAUGAAGUAUUUCGGUAUGUAAACUUCGAAAGAAUAGGAAGAAUAAAUGACGGUACUAUUUAUAAGGUCCGGCUAACUACGUGCCAGCAGCCGCGGUAAUACGUAGGGACCAAGCGUUGUUCGGAUUUACUGGGCGUAAAGGGCGCGUAGGCGGUGUGUCAAGUCAGUUGUGAAAUCUCCGAGCUUAACUCGGAACGGUCAACUGAUACUGUCACACUAGAGUACAGAAGGGGCAAUCGGAAUUCUUGGUGUAGCGGUGAAAUGCGUAGAUAUCAAGAGGAACACCUGAGGCGAAGGCGGGUUGCUGGGCUGAUACUGACGCUGAGGCGCGAAAGCUAGGGUAGCAAACGGGAUUAGAUACCCGAGUAGUCCCUGAGCGGGCUGGCAAGGCGCAU